CGCUGGCGGCAUGCCUAACACAUGCAAGUCNAACGAGACCUUCGGGUCUAGUGGCGCAYGGGUGCGUAACGCGUGGGAAUCUGCCCUCUGGUACGGAAUAACUCAGGGAAACUUGAGCUAAUACCGUAUAAUGACUUCGGUCCAAAGAUUUAUCGCCUGAGGAUGAGCCCGCGUCGGAUUAGCUAGUUGGUGAGGUAAAAGCUCACCAAGGCGACGAUCCGUAGCUGGUCUGAGAGGAUGAUCAGCCACACUGGGACUGAGACACGGCCCAGACUCCUACGGGAGGCAGCAGUGGGGAAUAUUGGACAAUGGGCGAAAGCCUGAUCCAGCAAUGCCGCGUGAGUGAUGAAGGCCUUAGGGUUGUAAAGCUCUUUUACCCGGGAUGAUAAUGACAGUACCGGGAGAAUAAGCCCCGGCUAACUCCGUGCCAGCAGCCGCGGUAAUACGGAGGGGGCUAGCGUUGUUCGGAAUUACUGGGCGUAAAGCGCACGUAGGCGGCUUUGUAAGUUAGAGGUGAAAGCCCGGGGCUCAAUUCCGGAAUUGCCUUUAAGACUGCAUCGCUAGAAUUGUGGAGAGGUAAGUGGAAUUCCGAGUGUAGAGGUGAAAUUCGUAGAUAUUCGGAAGAACA
Molecule: ribosomal RNA, 628 nt
Filed under: uncultured soil bacterium
Lineage: Bacteria
Description: bacterial SSU rRNA
Rfam family: Bacterial small subunit ribosomal RNA
Source: RNAcentral